CGUGCACGCUGGCGGUAGGCCUAACACAUGCAAGUCGAACGGCAGCACAGUAAGAGCUUGCUAUUACGGGUGGAGAGUGGCGGACGGGUGAGGAAUACAUCGGAAUCUACUUUUUCGUGGGGGAUAACGUAGGGAAACUUACGCUAAUAACGCAUACGACCUACGGGUGAAAGCAGGGGAUCUUCGGACCUUGCGCGAUUGAAUGAGCCGAUGUCGGAUUAGCUAGUUGGCGGGGUAAAGGCCCACCAAGGCGACGAUCCGUAGCUGGUCUGAGAGGAUGAUCAGCCACACUGGAACUGAGACACGGUCCCGACUCCUACGGGAGGCAGCAGUGGGGAAUAUUGGACAAUGGGCGCAAGCGUGAUCUAGCCAUACCGCGUAGGUGAAGAAGGCCUUCGGGUUGUAGAGCCCUUUUGUUGUGAAAGAAAAGCAGCAGGUUAAUACCCCGCUGUUCUGACGGUACCCAAAGAAUAAGCACCGGCUAACUUCGUG
RNAcentral lists this ribosomal RNA (492 nucleotides) under uncultured bacterium. RNAcentral's name for it is "partial 16S ribosomal RNA". It matches the Rfam family "Bacterial small subunit ribosomal RNA", at positions 29 to 507 of the family's 1533-position model. The record is from RNAcentral.